GGAGGGUGCAAGCGUUAUCCGGAUUCACUGGGUUUAAAGGGUGCGUAGGUGGGUUGGUAAGUCAGUGGUGAAAUCCCCGAGCUUAACUUGGGAACUGCCAUUGAUACUAUCAGUCUUGAAUACCGUGGAGGUUAGCGGAAUAUGUCAUGUAGCGGUGAAAUGCUUAGAUAUGACAUAGAACACCAAUUGCGAAGGCAGCUGGCUACACGAAUAUUGACACUGAGGCACGAAAGCGUGGGGAUCAAACAGGAUUAGAUACCCUGGUAGUCCACGCCCUAAACUAUGGAUACUCGACAUCAGCGAUACACUGUUGGUGUCUGAGCGAAAGCAUUAAGUAUCCCACCUGGGAAGUACGAUCGCAAGAUUGAA
RNAcentral lists this ribosomal RNA (369 nucleotides) under uncultured bacterium. Its description in RNAcentral is "bacterial SSU rRNA". It matches the Rfam family "Bacterial small subunit ribosomal RNA", at positions 527 to 898 of the family's 1533-position model. The record is from RNAcentral.